This is a non-coding RNA of Suricata suricatta (meerkat), 552 nucleotides long. The record is from the annotation of a RefSeq genome assembly. NCBI's taxonomy places the organism in Eukaryota, Metazoa, Chordata, Mammalia, Carnivora, Herpestidae.
CCCCAGCUCCGGGAGUCCCAGGUGUCCCAUUCUGUGAUCAGGACAGAACACAGACCUCUCACCAUGGAGUUUGUGCUUGGCUGGGUUUUCCUUGCUGCUGUUUUAAAAGGUGUCCAGUGUGAGGUGCAGCUGGUGGAGUCUGGGGGAGGCCUGGCAAAGCCUGGGGCCUCCCUGCGACUCUCCUGUGCAGCCUCUGGAUUUGACUUCAGUAAAUAUGCCAUGAGCUGGGUCCGCCAGGCUCCCCAGAAGGGGCUGGAGUGGGUGUCAGGUAUUAAUUAUGAUGGAAGUAGCAUAGGCUAUGCGGACUCCGUGAAGGGCCGAUUCACCAUCUCCAGAGACAACGCCAAGAACACGCUCUCUCUGCAAAUGAACAACCUGAGAGUCGAAGACACGGCCAUGUAUUUCUGUGCUAGAGACACAGUGAGGGGACGUCAGUGUGAGCCCAGACACAAACCUCCCUACCGGCAAAAAUCCAGAAGCAAAAAGGGAAAAGCUUUCUGCGCCUACAACUGGAAGAUGUACCCAGAAAAAUUAGGCAAUAAAAGGAAAUAA